This 2040-nucleotide long non-coding RNA is filed under the name Pan troglodytes (chimpanzee). RNAcentral's name for it is "long non-coding RNA NONPTRT004135". The record is from RNAcentral. Lineage: Eukaryota; Metazoa; Chordata; Mammalia; Primates; Hominidae.
CGGCAGCCAAUCAGCGCGCGGCUUCUAUAGGGCUUGAGUUAUUAGACGCUGAUCUCAAAACAUCCUUCAUCAGACACGAAGGAGAGGCCAACAGAUGAGGGAAGCCAUUUUUCUGCAAUGGAAUUAAAUGGCCAAGUGGGUUUUUCCUUUGUUGCAAAUGGGGAAUGUUUUUCCUUUGACUCUACCAUCCAGUUCAGGACGUCUCAGUGUGUUUAACAUUUGUCAACAGGCCCAAGGACUCACAGUUGGAAGACUGGAGAAGACUUUUUAAAAAGAUCUGGAUUUUUCCUUAUGACUUGGAAUCCAUCUUUGUCUUGUAUAACUAGGUCAUAGCACACCAUUCAUGUCAGCAGUUAACAGUUUUGAAUUACAAAAAAACCUAAGUAAAUGACAUAUUUUUUUUCCUCUUUUUGUUCUAUGGGUGGGUGGGGGGAGCUUGGAGCUGUCUUGAUCUGUAUUCUCUUGACUGAACAAUAAAUUUUUAAAUAUAUCUAGUUUCCUCUAUUAAACACUUAAACCUGGCCAUCUUAUUAACUCCUUCUCUCUUUUUAACAAGGUAACGUUUUAAAUGUAUAUAGCUUUAGGACUAGCGAAAUGGCAGCAACAAAAAAUUGUGAGCAGUUGUUACUCUUUCAGUUUUUAAAAAACCUUUUACAUUGUAAGUACCCAAUCCAUUCUGUCCUGACGCAGUACAGUUUUGAUGUUAAUGUUGCUGAGAUGUCCUUAAUUUUCCGAACCUUCAUCUGCAUGUAUGUCUUUGUCUCUCUUGUCUAAUAUAAGCCAGUUAAGAUGCUUGAGACGAUCUUGCUUUAUAAAGCUAAGGUUCUAGCUUUAUGCUUUUGAAAAUGUUUACAGCACUAAAUGCUAGUCAGCUUUCUUCCCCGUAGCUUGUACACUUUCUUUGAAAAUCGAUCUAUUUGAAGAAAAACAGCCCUGUUUUUCUCGUCUUUGGUGUUGGGGGUUGGGGGGAGCUGGUGGGUGAGGGAAAGGAAGACCUUUUCUUUGUGUAGAGAGACUAAAGCCGUCACAGGAAACUAGAUUAAAACUGGAAAACAAGUCCUAGCUGGUUCCAGCAAACACCAACGUUAAGUGGGGGGUAUUUUCUAUGGUGGUUGGGCGGCUGGUGCGUCUUUUGCCUUUUGUUUGAUUUGACUGUAUUUUCCCUUUUGUCUCUUAAUGACGAUCACACCAUUGCUAUAUCCAGAGCAGUAAACAGUCCUCAGCGAAGCCGCCUUUUUGCCUACCCAACCCUGGAAAGUUUGCAGAAGUGGAAGGAGCAGAACGUGAGGGUGUAACUUACAAAAAGCUUGAUCUUCUAGACUCCAUGGCACCGGGCUGAGCGGGUAAGUAAGAAAGAUAAAAAGUGCCUUUUGCCCCUUCGAGGAAACCCUUUUGCAGGCCAAGCAAGGGCUGCAAGUGUUUGGGAGCUGAGAGGAGAAGGAGGAUUCUGGAGCAUUGUAUUUGGCAGCCGGAGCGGGCAGUGGGCGGGGGGUUGGGACACGAAGGGCUCUUCGGACCCCUGUGCCUCUUCUGCCCCAAGGGCGAGAAGACGGGCUUCGCAGCGACCCUCGGGGGUCCAUGGAGCCGCCUGCCUUCGCCCCCUCGCUCUUCCCAGGUCUGAACCUGGAUGGGGAGAAGAAAUUGAAGUGCUUUGGAGACGGGGGACUUAAAACACUAGGGAGCCUCAUCGCCCAGCCUUGGGCCCACUUUCCUUUCGAUCGUGAGGAUUCCGCACCCCGAAGCCGGCUUCUCGGGGCUCCGGGGCGCGCCUGCGCUGGCAACGCGAAGGAGGACAAAAGGCCGGCGUCCAUGUUGGCACCAUGACGCAGCAUCUCCGCCCGCAGCCCGGCGCUCCUGUCCUCCCGGCCGCGCUCGCUCCUCCUCCCAAACACCAGUUUUCUUUACAGGCUUCGAGCCCGUCGCGGCUGGGCCGGGCUGGUCUGGCAGGCGGGCCCAGCCGGGCAGGGCUGCUUUGCUAAUGGCGGCGGCUCUCUUUCCUUCCUUCCUCCUUUCCUCCGUCCCCCCGGUCGUGGGGAGCCC